CAAUCAUCAUAACUCAACUUAUGCACAAGCAAAUGAGAUAAUAAAAGAGAAAACCAAUCAACCAAGGCUAUCUGAACAUAAGAGAUCGAACUAAUCAGAUCAAUUUUGGACUUAAUUAGUUGAACAUGAAUUAACCAGUUGGAAUCUUAACGUUAAUGACUAAGCAUCUUCAGGAUAGGCCCACUGUGGAAGAAUUAGUAACAAACAAAUAAUUUUUGGGCCUGAAAGUUUCCCGUUACCAAAGCUAAAUCACAAUGGAAGGUUCUAUUUCGAACCCAUACCAAUAUAGAACUUUAAUGAUUUGUGAGCUCAACACUUUAUUAGACAUAACCUCAAUCUUAAGCAUAUUAAUGACAAAACAACAAGUAUGGUUACAGAUAUAGAAACCUCAAAUCCUGCCUCAUGAAAUUAGUAACAGAGAAAUUCUAACAUAACAUAUAUUGUUCAAAAUUUGCAUACAUAACACUUCUUAUAGAAGAGAAAAGGAAGAAGAAAAAGAAAAGAAAUUAACCCUGCAACUUAACAUAGACUCAAUUGUUUCAUAUGAAGCAUUGUUAUUCAUUUCCCCUUUAUUAAACAAAGUCCAGUAAGUCCUAAAUUACUUAUACUCCAACCAAAACAGAAAUACAUUUAUAGCAUUAGAUGGUCCACUUAAUUACACAUGAACAACUCGAUUAUGAAAGCAAUAAAGCAGAGAUGUUCACAAAAUCAAAGACAUUCCAUGAAUAUUAAUUGAUGUUAAGCAAGAAAACUUCCAUUUUUAUUUCAUUUGCCAAUCUGAGCAUCACAGUUACAAGUGUAAGAAUGUGUACCUGAAAUUGAGGGAAAUAACAAAAAGAUAGAUUAGAAGCUGCAUUUUAAUAGGUGUUGAAAACAGCAACACGCAACCCAGACCAGUGAUGAAAUCACAGAAGUUUCCCAGAUCCAAUAGAACAAUAAUUUCCAGUCCAAAACCAAGAAAAAUGCAAAUCAAACAGCAAAAAUUAAUCCCAAACAACCAAAUAACUCGACAAAACACCCAAAUCUGAGAUCAAGUAUCUAACUUUCAGACCAUUUCAUAGCCUGUACAUACAGAGAAAACCAAAUUUGAUUCAGAGAUGAAAAACUUUCAAAAUCCAGGCCUCAAAUAUGAUAGAAUAGAAUCAAUCACUGAUUUUCUAUGUUUUUUCUCUCUAAUGCUUAGAUUUGAUCUCUCCAAAAAACUUCAACUGCAAGAAACUACGCCUUGCUAUGUAAGUUACUAGGGCAUUUCUAAGGGUUGAACUAUUCCAAGUUAGUUCCUUUUACAUUUUUCUUUUUGCUACCUAGUCCUGCUAUUAUUGACUUGGUGCCCGAGUUUAAAUAGCCAAAAAUAGUAAAUCCACAUAGAACCCCUAAUAGAGACUUCUACAAUCAGUUAUUAAAGAUUCCUCAUGCCUGAUUACCCACACUACCCUUAACAUACCUGUAUGUACUAUUCAAAACCAGAAUGGGUCAAAGGGCCCAAUGGCUUAAGCCCAAAUAGAACUAGGCUGCUUUCAAACCAGUCAAAGAUGAACUGAAACGCAAGCACUGAACUACCCAACUAAUUAUCUAUAAGCACUAGGAAGAACGUGAAAGAACAAAUACCAAACGAUUUCCACACUCAACACCUUAACCAAAUUAUUGGCUAAUUAACACCCAUAUGCAGAUAAUUAACCAAGUUAUUAAAUCAAAAUGACCUAACAAAGUCAAACUAAUCAGCUAAUCAAAGGAUGAAAUCAGACUUCUAAUGAAUCUUAUUACCCAAACUUUAACGAACCAAAACAAAUUAGAAAAUUAACGAGCGACAAAGAAACAUAACUUUUUCCCAAAAGAAAUCCAAUCGAGUCUUAAUUGAAUCAACUAGGGAAAAGAAAGAGAUAUGAGGGAGAAUAAAAGAGAACUUACACUCAGCAGGAACCAUGAAUGAAAGAAGAACUUACCGAUUUAAGUUCAACGUCGUCAGUUCAUCUGCUUAGACCCCAAAAUAAUGCGACUCACCUACUCUUUGACAAGAAUACACGAGUAGUAUCAUUUGGAGGUCAAAUAGACCUUGGAAACUCGGAUAACUUCGGAGGGAAGAGUUUGCAUGGCAACAAAGAUCCUUGACCUUUAGGUCUGAAAACCCUAAUUUUAAGAUUCGACAUUUUUGGGAGGUAUUCAAACUAAACUAACUGGGGAUUUGGGAUGAGGGAGGGAAGGAGACCCUAGGGUCUUAAUUUGGGAGUAUUUAGUGGCGAGCUGCCGGGCGCCAACGCGAUGGGGAAAGGUGUCGGCUAGGGUUUAUUUUUGGUCUCUAAGGAGGGGGAGAACAUGAGAGAUGAUGAAGGGCGGAGGAUGAGGGUGAUUCGGACAUAUACAUAUUAUUGCACCCUACUUUAGAGUUGUUGGAUCUAAAGAUCCAACAGUUGUGAUUGAAGCUUCAAUAAAAUGGGGCGUUUUAGUUAGGGACGAGGUUGUUUGG
RNAcentral lists this long non-coding RNA (2464 nucleotides) under Nicotiana benthamiana. RNAcentral describes it as "long non-coding RNA (NBEN_LNC035581)". The record is from RNAcentral. Lineage: Eukaryota; Viridiplantae; Streptophyta; Magnoliopsida; Solanales; Solanaceae.